Molecule: non-coding RNA, 337 nt
Organism: Pelobates cultripes (western spadefoot toad)
Lineage: Eukaryota; Metazoa; Chordata; Amphibia; Anura; Pelobatidae
Source: the annotation of a GenBank genome assembly
AUUAAUUCGAAUGCAGUCAGCGGUGUGUGCCGUCAAACUCAUGGAACUAAAAUUGGCUACAGAACAGCACGAACACCGCUGAAGUUUUACCUUCCCUGGAACUAAUGCAUUAGACAGUUCAUUCGACAGUUCAUUCGACAGUUCAUUCAACAAUUCGUCGUUCGUCUGUUUGAACUGACUUUAACAUGGGAAAUAGACCAGCCGCACUGCCUGAUUCUCUGGGACUGUUUUGGGCAUGAAAAUGUGCCUGCGGUCGGUCAUAAAAUGACUUCCAGCUAACUUUUUAACCCCUGGAUGGAAUUGGCUGAAUUGUGACUAUGUUAAUAAUUAAAGUGUG